RNAcentral lists this ribosomal RNA (407 nucleotides) under uncultured bacterium. RNAcentral describes it as "partial 16S ribosomal RNA". It matches the Rfam family "Bacterial small subunit ribosomal RNA", at positions 30 to 526 of the family's 1533-position model. The record is from RNAcentral.
AUUGAACGCUGGCGGCAGGCCUAACACAUGCAAGUCGAGCGGAGCGGCGGACGGGUGAGUAAUGCCUAGGAAUCUGCCUGGUAGUGGGGGAUAACGUGCGGAAACGGGCGCUAAUACCGCAUACUAUCAGAUGAGCCUGGGUCGGAUGAGCUAGUGGGUGGGGUAAAGGCCUACCAAGGCGACGAUCCGUAACUGGUCUGAGAGUAUGAUCAGUCAACCUGGAACUGAGACACGGGCCAGACUCCUACGGUAGGCAGCAGGGGGGAAGAUUGGAGAAUGGGCGAAAGCCUGAUCCAGCCAUGCCGCGUGUGUGAAGUAGGUCUGCGGAGUGUAAAGAACUUUAAGUUGUGAGGCGUUACCAACAGAAUAAGCACCGGCUAAGUCCGUGCCAGCAGCCGCGGUAAUUC